RNAcentral lists this ribosomal RNA (494 nucleotides) under uncultured bacterium. RNAcentral's name for it is "partial 16S ribosomal RNA". It matches the Rfam family "Bacterial small subunit ribosomal RNA", at positions 28 to 507 of the family's 1533-position model. The record is from RNAcentral.
GACGAACGCUGGCGGCGUGCUUAACACAUGCAAGUCGAACGGAAAGGCCUGCUUUCCCUUGUGGAUUGCGGGUACUCGAGUGGCGAACGGGUGAGUAACACGUGAGUGAUCUGCCCCCAACUUGGGUAUAAGCCUGGGAAACUGGGUCUAAUUCCCGAUAGGACCGCAGGGUGGUGCCUGUGGUGGAAAACGAUUUUCUAGUGGUUGGGGAUGAGCUCGCGGCCUAUCAGCUUGUUGGUGGGGUAAUGGCCUACCAAGGCGGCGACGGGUAGCCGGCCUGAGAGGGUGGACGGCCACAUUGGGACUGAGAUACGGCCCAGACUCCUACGGGAGGCAGCAGUGGGGAAUAUUGCACAAUGGGCGGAAGCCUGAUGCAGCGACGCCGCGUGGGGGAUGACGGCCUUCGGGUUGUAAACUCCUUUCGACCGCGAGGAAGCCACCUGGUUGGAAGGGUGGUGACGGUAGUGGUAGAAGAAGCACCGGCUAACUACGUG